RNAcentral lists this transfer RNA (76 nucleotides) under Candidatus Falkowbacteria bacterium CG10_big_fil_rev_8_21_14_0_10_39_11. Its description in RNAcentral is "tRNA-Lys". It matches the Rfam family "tRNA". Rfam says of the family: Transfer RNA (tRNA) molecules are approximately 80 nucleotides in length. Their secondary structure includes four short double-helical elements and three loops (D, anti-codon, and T loops). Lineage: Bacteria; Candidatus Falkowiibacteriota. The record is from RNAcentral.
GGGCGCAUAGCUCAGCUGGUAGAGCAGUUGGCUCUUAACCAAUUGGUCGGAGGUUCGAGUCCUCCUGCGCCCACCA